This 74-nucleotide transfer RNA is filed under the name Paramecium tetraurelia. RNAcentral describes it as "tRNA-Sup for anticodon CUA". It matches the Rfam family "tRNA". From Rfam's summary of the family: Transfer RNA (tRNA) molecules are approximately 80 nucleotides in length. Their secondary structure includes four short double-helical elements and three loops (D, anti-codon, and T loops). Lineage: Eukaryota; Ciliophora; Oligohymenophorea; Peniculida; Parameciidae. The record is from RNAcentral.
UCAUCAAGUAGUUUAGUGGUAAAACAUUGCUCUCUAGCAGUAAAGAUCCGAGUUCAAGUCUCCGGGUUGGUGAU